This is a non-coding RNA of Linepithema humile (Argentine ant), 970 nucleotides long. The record is from RefSeq and is a predicted model, not a curated record. NCBI's taxonomy places the organism in Eukaryota, Metazoa, Arthropoda, Insecta, Hymenoptera, Formicidae.
GAAACGUUGCACUUACGCCUGUACGAAAUUGAAAUCAUUGCAUAAGCCGUGUGCAACCCGUUCUCUCGUUCGGAUACGAGUUACUUUUAUAUUGCUUUAUGAUUUAAGGAUUGUCGCUGAAACGUUGCACUUACGCCUGUCGAAAAUUGAAAUCAUUGCAUAAGCCGUGUGCAACCCGUUCUCUCGUUCGGAUACGAGUUACUUUUAUAUAUUUUACUGUCUGCCAUCAUGCCAAAGGAAUUUCAAUAUUUAUCAAAAAGGCGAAAGAAUCAAAUAAUUAAACGCGAAUUGACUUAUUAUAAAUAUUCAAAAAUUAUUACAUUCAACCAAUUCGAAUAUAGCAUCUGAUACGAUAGAAGCAGAAAAUAGUGGUAACAGUAGUUUCACAAAUGUCGAUGAUACAUUUAACGAAAUUAAUAUUUUGCCUCACGAUUUUGCUAACGAAAUAAGUGAAUCAAGUGUAGAAUCACUAUCGGAUAUAGAAAGUAACAAGGAACAUAAUGUUGAAGCACAAGAUUAUAUUUCUGAUAUAAAUAAUAUCUCUGAUGGUAGCAAUAAUAUAACGAGUUUACGAGAAGAUUUACAAAAAUUUAUUAUUGAACGAAAUAUUGCACAUAAUACUGUUAACGAGUUACUUACUAUUUUAAGGAAACAUGGCUAUGUAGAUUUGCCUAAAGACGUGAGGGUGUUACUUAAAACACCACGAAAUGCGUCUGUAAAUAUAAAAUCUCUGGAUAGUGGACGCUACGUUCAUUUUGGUCUUUUCUCUACUCUAAAGCGAUCCAUACAAAUAUAUUCUGAAUUUAUUACAGGGAAUAAAAUAAAAUUAAAUAUUAAUAUUGACGGUUUGCCAAUUUCCAAAAGUAGUGGUAGUCAAUUUUGGCCAAUAAUGGCAUCUAUUGAAGAUGUAGAUACAUAUACAUUACCUUUUAUAAUUGGUAUUUAUCAUGGAAUGUGCAAACCUAAUAAU